This 107-nucleotide small nuclear RNA is filed under the name Nannospalax galili (Upper Galilee mountains blind mole rat). Lineage: Eukaryota; Metazoa; Chordata; Mammalia; Rodentia; Spalacidae. The record is from RNAcentral.
GUGCUCACUUUAGCACCACAUAUACUAAAAUUGGAACGAUACAGAGAAGAUUAGCAUGGUCCCUGCACAAGGAUGACAUGCAAAUUCAAGAAACAUUCCAUAUUUUU